This 66-nucleotide transfer RNA is filed under the name Marmota monax (woodchuck). Its description in RNAcentral is "tRNA.Val". The record is from RNAcentral. Lineage: Eukaryota; Metazoa; Chordata; Mammalia; Rodentia; Sciuridae.
UUGUGGCCUAGUGGCAGAGUGCUUGUCUCACACAUGUGAGGCUCUGGGUUCGAUCCUCAGCAUAAA